Molecule: long non-coding RNA, 2003 nt
Organism: Balaenoptera musculus (blue whale)
Lineage: Eukaryota; Metazoa; Chordata; Mammalia; Artiodactyla; Balaenopteridae
Exons: 7
Source: RefSeq, a predicted model, not a curated record
GGAGAUUCAAAAUAAAGAAAUAAAUAAGAUACACUGGAAACAGAAUCCAGAAGAAAGGCGGUCUCUCUUGCACGAGAAGUCUGCAUUUGGAAAACACAGGAGAUGGGGAUCAAAGCCGCUCCCUCUCCAGCCACCUGCCCAGAAACUGCCCGAGCGCCGGCCCAGCACCGUCGGGGCAAGCGGGCACGUGUCUCUCCUCUAAACCAACGGGCGCUCCGAGGGACCGGGUUACGGCGGCGGGCUCCCCGCGCGUCUCACCAGGCGCUGGGGCGGCGGGGAGCCAAGGGAGAGCCCUCCGCCACCUCCGCCCAGCCCAGCCCUAGAGCCCGCCGCCCCGCCGCGAAGGAUGCCCGGGUCUCCUGAGCCGCCGCGUCCUCAGCACGGCCGAGCGAGAGAUAGGACAGAAGAUGGACCUAGAUUCAACUCUCCUGAAAAGCUCGUGACCUUAGGCAAGUUACUUAAAUCUCCGAGCCUUUCUUCACCUCUAAAACGACGAUAAUAAUAGCGUCCACUUCCUGUGCUUGCUGAAGAGGACAAAAUGAAUGCGGCGCAGGAGUCCGUGCAUGUCUGUUGCAGUAAUCACAUUUCAAGUGCUCUGCAUCGAUGUGCAGCUCGUAGCUGCCAUACUGGACAGCAUAUAAAACAUCCCCUUCAUCACAGGAAGUUCUACUGGACAGCGGUGGCUAGAGGCCAGGAUUUUGGUAAGGAGAGUUAUCCUGGUGACCGGUGAUCUGAAAUUCUCAAGCCCAUGCUCUUCCAGCCUAGUGGAGCAAGAUCACAUUAUUGUUGGGAAACUUCUAUGAAGCUAAAAGGUUGUUUUGCCCCUUAUGAAGAGAGAUGUAUUACUGUUUAUCUAACCAUGAUCCAAGGGGUGAUAUUCCCUAACAGAUGAGAGUAGGAAUGGCAGAAGAGAACAAUCUAAAAAAGGUGGAUCCUACAUAUGAAAGAUUGGGAAAAUCUAGAAUGACUCUGCAACCAAAUUGCUUCGUAUUUGUAUUCAGCAAGGUGUUCAACAACCAACUCCAAACAUAGGCACCUGAAGACACUGGCUGACUUAGAAAGAAGGCAACUCAUCAUCUGUUGUGUUGGUAUCAGUGAAAAAGGACACGGGCUUUGUAUGACUGGAAAGUGACAGGUGACUCCAGACAAAGAAUCGGAGCUGAAUGGAGAAAGCGAGUAUGAACUGGCACAGCUGGAGCACUGCAGAUAGGAGGAAAGAAUGCACGGUUGCAGAAGAGCACUUUAUUAACAUCUUCAACCUGCUAACCACUCUCUAGUCUAGUGAUUCUCUCGCUCGUAAUCAGAUACAUGUUUGUUUCAGCAGACACACAGCAAGAUCCUCAGCAAAUCAGAGACCAAAACAUCACUUUUUUUUUUAAAACCCAACAAACUUAUAGUGAGGAAUUUUAAGAAGAAGUAGAAGAAUCCAAUUACUGAAUGUUCAUGCCCUGAAAAUUGAUUCCAAGAGAAUGAAAUAAGCUGCACUGUUCAUUUCACUGGAAGUUUAAAAAUUCUUUUCAUUCCUCUUUUAAUAGAUUACACAUUCUAACAAUGUUAGCUGUUAAGUUCUGUUUUUUCAGUUGACUUCUAUAAUAAAAUUGGAGUUGGUCAACAGAAAUGUUGCUACUAAUCUAGGAUGCAGUAAAGUUACACACAACACUGAAACAAACCAUUUAAAAUCAUAUGCUUAAAAGAAAACUGAUAUCCUGUAACGAUGUGGCUUCCUAAAAAUAAAAAUGCUUAAUGGGAAAAUAGGGUGUACGAGAAUAACAAAAAACCUAGAGUUAUAGCUAUCACAGUAGGAGUAACAAAAUUAAAACUGAAGCCAUUUGUUUAAAUUAGUGAUUCCCAAAGUGUAUUCCACACACUGAUGUUCACUGCUGACCAAAAUACAGGCACACCUCGUUUUCCUGUGCUGCCCUUUAUUACACUUUGCAGAUAUUGCAUUUUUUACAAAUUGAAGGUUUGCAGCAAUCCUGCAUCCGCAAGUCUAUCGGUGCCAU